This is a long non-coding RNA of Bacillus rossius redtenbacheri, 867 nucleotides long. RefSeq lists it as uncharacterized. The record is from RefSeq and is a predicted model, not a curated record. Lineage: Eukaryota; Metazoa; Arthropoda; Insecta; Phasmatodea; Bacillidae. The transcript has 3 exons.
AAAGCAUACUGAAUAAGCCCGUUUAGAUCUCUAUGCUUGUUCUGCAUCGCGAGGAAUCUCCCCGACUGCCUUCACACUCUCCAAUCACAGGACUGGCCGUUACGGGCCCUGCACGAACUCGGGCUUGUUUAUUUCUCUCUCACGAAGAAUGUCGGAGACGACGGAGUACUAUCAGACAAGGUGCAAGCUAAAGUUUUGUACCACGUAUACCACGACGCAUCGUGAACAUGGGGCUGCGCGUUAAACGGAACUCGACUUUCCAAAGUUUCGCGGAGCGACACCAUGGCGGUCGCCAGUCGCGGCGACAGACCGGUGGCUGAGCAGUGCGCGAGCAACAAGUGAAGAGAAAGAAGAAGGAACUGUGAUGAACUUCGUGCCUGCUCGCAAGAGUUACGCCCUCUCGGUGGACACAUGUUCCCGCCAGAACUCUCCGCUAACUAACUUCCCGGCCCGCUGCUGUUCCGAAACACACACGCCAGUCCCCGCCAUCUUAGAUUUUAAAAUAUUUUUAUUUAUUUUUCUAUUUAGUUUUACUAUCCUAAAUGUUGUUGCGAUAUGGCUGAAUUAUUUCUUCCAACACUUUUAUAUAUAUAUUCUUACAAUCAUAUUUUACAACAGGUUUCAGUUAGUAACCACCAAAAUAAUAACCGACGUAAUAAUCACACCAGUCAACCAAUUUCGUCUUCAACCAGCUGAUUUCUACGCCGUGUCGAAAGAAAAAAUGGCUCAUGGAAGCUGUAUUGCAAACUGAGGCUUAAUUAAUACUUGAAAAAAAUUGAUGUUGAAGCAGCAAUUUCCCUAAAAAUAAAUGACCUGUUUGAAAAACAAAUCUUUAGAAGAUGACAAGAAAGAACUUUUACCUCACGA